AGUGAACGCUGGCGGUAGGCCUAACACAUGCAAGUCGAUCGGCAGCACAGUAAGAGCUUGCUCUUACGGGUGGCGAGUGGCGGACGGGUGAGGAAUACAUCGGAAUCUACUUUUUCGUGGGGGAUAACGUAGGGAAACUUACGCUAAUACCGCAUACGACCUACGGGUGAAAGCAGGGGAUCUUCGGACCUUGCGCGAUUGAAUGAGCCGAUGUCGGAUUAGCUAGUUGGCGGGGUAAAGGCCCACCAAGGCGACGAUCCGUAGCUGGUCUGAGAGGAUGAUCAGCCACACUGGAACUGAGACACGGUCCAGACUCCUACGGGAGGCAGCAGUGGGGAAUAUUGGACAAUGGGCGCAAGCCUGAUCCAGCCAUACCGCGUGGGUGAAGAAGGCCUUCGGGUUGUAAAGCCCUUUUGUUGGGAAAGAAAGGCAGCAGGUUAAUACCCCGCUGUUCUGACGGUACCCAAAGAAUAAGCACCGGCUAACUUCGUG
This 492-nucleotide ribosomal RNA is filed under the name uncultured bacterium. Its description in RNAcentral is "partial 16S ribosomal RNA". It matches the Rfam family "Bacterial small subunit ribosomal RNA", at positions 29 to 507 of the family's 1533-position model. The record is from RNAcentral.